CCUACGGGAGGCAGCAGUGAGGAAUAUUGGUCAAUGGAGGAAAGUCUGAACCAGCCACGCCGCGUGCAGGAAGACGGCUCUAUGAGUUGUAAACUGCUUUUGUACGGGGGUAAACGAAGAUACGUGUAUCUGACUGCAAGUAUCACACGAAUAAGGAACGGCUAAUUCCGUGCCAGCAGCCGCGGUAAUACGGAGGGUCCGAGCGUUAUCCGGAUUUAUUGGGUUGAAAGGGUGCGUAGGCGGUCGGGGAAGUUAGAGGUGAAAUGCCGGGGCUCAACUUCGGAAUUGCCUCGGAUACUGUUGGGCUAGAGGGGAGGUGAGGUAGGCGGAAUGUAUGGUGUAGCGGUGAAAUGCUUAGAUAGCAGGCAGAACACCGAUUGCGAAGGCAGCGUACCGGACUGCUACUGACGUUGAGGCUCGAAAGCGUGGGGAGCAAACAGGAUUAGAUACCCGAGUAGUC
Molecule: ribosomal RNA, 460 nt
Filed under: uncultured bacterium
Lineage: Bacteria
Description: partial 16S ribosomal RNA
Rfam family: Bacterial small subunit ribosomal RNA
Source: RNAcentral